RNAcentral lists this ribosomal RNA (112 nucleotides) under Rhododendron griersonianum. The record is from RNAcentral. Lineage: Eukaryota; Viridiplantae; Streptophyta; Magnoliopsida; Ericales; Ericaceae.
UGCGAUCAUACCAGCACUAAUGCACCGGAUCCCAUCAGAACUCCGCAGUUAAGCGUGCUUGGACGAGAGUAGUACUAGGAUGGGUGACCCCCUGGGAAGUCCUCGUGUUGCA